This 72-nucleotide transfer RNA is filed under the name Cavia porcellus (domestic guinea pig). It matches the Rfam family "tRNA". From Rfam's summary of the family: Transfer RNA (tRNA) molecules are approximately 80 nucleotides in length. Their secondary structure includes four short double-helical elements and three loops (D, anti-codon, and T loops). Further hydrogen bonds mediate the characteristic L-shaped molecular structure. tRNAs have two regions of fundamental functional importance: the anti-codon, which is responsible for specific mRNA codon recognition, and the 3' end, to which the tRNAs corresponding amino acid is attached (by aminoacyl-tRNA synthetases). tRNAs cope with the degeneracy of the genetic code in two manners: having more than one tRNA (with a specific anti-codon) for a particular amino acid; and 'wobble' base-pairing, i.e. permitting non-standard base-pairing at the 3rd anti-codon position. Lineage: Eukaryota; Metazoa; Chordata; Mammalia; Rodentia; Caviidae. The record is from Rfam by way of RNAcentral.
GGGGAUUUAGCUCAGUGGCAUAAGCACUUGCCUGGUAAGCAUGAGGUCAUAAGUUCGAUCCCAGAACCCCCC